GUGAAUCAUCGAAUUUUUGAACGCAAAUUGCACUCUCUUCGGAGAGUAUGCCUGUUUGAGGGCCAGCCUAUAAAAAAUCGACAUCGUUGCUGUUUCGCGGUGGCGUUCGUCGGAAAUUGGGUCAUCUUAAAUCCUUUUUUUAUACGCGUCUUAAAAUUCUCUUUUAGUUCAUUAACGGUUUCUAGAUUUUUUUCUUUUACCGGUUUAGGU
Molecule: unclassified non-coding RNA, 210 nt
Filed under: Glomus sp.
Lineage: Eukaryota; Fungi; Glomeromycota; Glomeromycetes; Glomerales; Glomeraceae
Description: partial contains 5.8S ribosomal RNA and internal transcribed spacer 2
Rfam family: 5.8S ribosomal RNA (bases 1-65)
Source: RNAcentral